CGCAGGGGGGAGCUACCAUGCAGUCGAGCGAGAACUUCGGUUCUAGCGGCGGACGGGUUAGUAACGCGUGGGAACGUGCCCUUCACUACGGAAUAGUCCCGGGAAACUGGGUUUAAUACCGUAUACGCCCUUCGGGGGAAAGAAUUUCGGUGAAGGAUCGGCCCGCGUUAGAUUAGAUAGUUGGUGGGGUAACGGCCUACCAAGUCUACGAUCUAUAGCUGGUUUUAGAGGAUGAUCAGCAACACUGGGACUGAGACACGGCCCAGACUCCUACGGGAGGCAGCAGUGGGGAAUCUUAGACAAUGGGCGCAAGCCUGAUCUAGCCAUGCCGCGUGAGUGAUGAAGGCCUUAGGGUCGUAAAGCUCUUUCGCCAGGGAUGAUAAUGACAGUACCUGGUAAAGAAACCCCGGCUAACUCCGUGCCAGCAGCCGCGGUAAUACGGAGGGGGUUAGCGUUGUUCGGAAUUACUGGGCGUAAAGCGCGCGUAGGCGGAUUGGAAAGUUGGGGGUGAAAUCCCAGGGCUCAACCCUGGAACUGCCUCCAAAACUAUCAGUCUAGAGUUCGAGAGAGGUGAGUGGAACUCCGAGUGUAGAGGUGAAAUUCGUAGAUAUUCGGAAGAACACCAGUGGCGAAGGCGGCUCACUGGCUCGAUACUGACGCUGAGGUGCGAAAGUGUGGGGAGCAAACAGGAUUAGAUACCCUGGUAGUCC
RNAcentral lists this ribosomal RNA (710 nucleotides) under Roseovarius sp. RNAcentral describes it as "bacterial SSU rRNA". It matches the Rfam family "Bacterial small subunit ribosomal RNA", at positions 38 to 796 of the family's 1533-position model. Lineage: Bacteria; Pseudomonadati; Pseudomonadota; Alphaproteobacteria; Rhodobacterales; Roseobacteraceae. The record is from RNAcentral.